AUAUUCUGCCCAUGGGGAAGGAUGAGAAGCUUCGACUAAGGACUCGACCAGCGAGAGAGAACGUUACCGCAGGCAACGGCCCGAAGAAGCGAGGCGCUUUAGCGCCGAGUAAUCCUUCCCCACCACCA
Molecule: small RNA, 128 nt
Filed under: Klebsiella pneumoniae
Lineage: Bacteria; Pseudomonadati; Pseudomonadota; Gammaproteobacteria; Enterobacterales; Enterobacteriaceae
Description: RtT sRNA
Rfam family: RtT RNA
About the family: This family represents a bacterial cis-regulatory element known as RtT RNA. The exact function of RtT is unknown although it is thought that it may be involved in changing the cellular response in relation to amino acid starvation.
Source: RNAcentral